RNAcentral lists this transfer-messenger RNA (346 nucleotides) under Spirochaetota. Its description in RNAcentral is "UBA12135 sp003497555 Standard tmRNA". It matches the Rfam family "transfer-messenger RNA". From Rfam's summary of the family: Bacterial tmRNA, also known as 10Sa RNA or SsrA, is named for its dual tRNA and mRNA-like properties. Its role is to liberate the mRNA from a stalled ribosome. The record is from RNAcentral. Lineage: Bacteria; Pseudomonadati. RNAcentral also lists the same sequence under 2 other names.
GGGGAUGCUUUGGGUUCGACGGCAGGAAUGCAUGUAUAGGGAGCAUGCCGUGAGGCGACACGUUAAAUAGCCAACAACAAUAAAUGCUAAUGACGAAUUAGCUCUUGCUGCUUAAUUAAAAGCAGCCGUUUCAGCGGGGGGCGCCUGCAGUUUCCGCCGAAACGUUAACCCUGCGGGAUAGUCCGCUGCAUUCCUCUAACAGCGGGCGAAAUAAACAGAGGAUAUACCGCAGCAGGCAGGCUGUCCGGCCCUGCAGCGAAGAACUCCCCCAAACGGGCAGCUGAGCAUGGAGAGCCCUGUGCAUUCAUCUUGUCGGACGCGGGUUCAAUUCCCGCCAUCUCCAUUU